This 406-nucleotide ribosomal RNA is filed under the name uncultured bacterium. Its description in RNAcentral is "partial 16S ribosomal RNA". It matches the Rfam family "Bacterial small subunit ribosomal RNA", at positions 30 to 526 of the family's 1533-position model. The record is from RNAcentral.
AUUGAACGCUGGCGGCAGGCCUAACACAUGCAAGUCGAACGAGUGGCGGACGGGUGAGUAAUGUCUGGGAAACUGCCUGAUGGAGGGGGAUAACUACUGGAAACGGUAGCUAAUACCGCAUACCAUCAGAUGUGCCCAGAUGGGAUUAGCUUGUUGGUGGGGUAACGGCUCACCAAGGCGACGAUCCCUAGCUGGUCUGAGAGGAUGACCAGCCACGCGUGAACUGAGACACGGUCCAGACUCCUACGGUAGGCAGCAGUGGGGUAUAGUGCACAAUGGGCGUAAGCCGUAUGCUGCCAGGCCGCUUGUAUGAAGAAGGCCUUCGGAUUGUAAAGUACUUUAAGUGGGGAUGCGUUACCCGCAGACGAAGCACCGGCUAACUCUGUGCCAGCAGCCGCGGUAAUUC